CGGCACAGGUAGUUUAGUUAAACAUAUAAAAUUACACCCUAGCGAUAAGGCUAGAUAUAUCCAAUUGAAAGCGCAACAAGAGGGGAGGACAAGUUCUGAAACAAAAGUUAACCCAAGUACUGGUUCUAAUCUAGUUCAACCAGGAAUAAUCACAGUCACCGGAGGUAUAUUGUAUUACGAUCCAAAUAAGGAUCGUGAAGAACUAGCUAAAAUN
This 214-nucleotide long non-coding RNA is filed under the name Nicotiana benthamiana. Its description in RNAcentral is "long non-coding RNA (NBEN_LNC009232)". Lineage: Eukaryota; Viridiplantae; Streptophyta; Magnoliopsida; Solanales; Solanaceae. The record is from RNAcentral.